Molecule: ribosomal RNA, 491 nt
Filed under: uncultured bacterium
Lineage: Bacteria
Description: bacterial SSU rRNA
Rfam family: Bacterial small subunit ribosomal RNA
Source: RNAcentral
GCUGGCGGCGGCUUACACAUGCAAGUCGAACGCUCGUAGCAAUACGGGAGUGGCAGACGGGUGAGUAACGCGUGGGAACAUACCCUCCGGUUCGGAAUAGCUCAGGGAAACUUGGAUUAAUACCGGAUACGGCUGAGAGGCGAAAGAUUUAUCGCCGGAGGAUUGGCCCGCGUUCGAUUAGCUAGUUGGUGAGGUAACGGCUCACCAAGGCGAUGAUUGAUAGCUGGUCUGAGAGGAUAAUCAGCCACAUUGGGACUGAGACACGGCCCAAACUCCUACGGGAGGCAGCAGUGGGGAAUAUUGGACAAUGGGCGCAAGCCUGAUCCAGCCAUGCCGCGUGAGUGAUGACGGCCUUAGGGUUGUAAAGCUCUUUCGCUCGGGACGAUAAUGACGGUACCGAGAUAAGAAGCCCCGGCUAACUUCGUGCCAGCAGCCGCGGUAAUACGAAGGGGGCUAGCGUNGUUCGGAAUUACUGGGCGUAAAGCGCGUGU